GCGGGCGUGGCGGAAUUGGUAGACGCACUGGAUUUAGGUUCCAGCGGCGCAAGCUGUGGGGGUUCGAGUCCCUCCGCCCGCACCA
Molecule: transfer RNA, 85 nt
Filed under: Microvirga aerophila
Lineage: Bacteria; Pseudomonadati; Pseudomonadota; Alphaproteobacteria; Hyphomicrobiales; Methylobacteriaceae
Also listed under: 2 other names
Description: tRNA-Leu
Rfam family: tRNA
About the family: Transfer RNA (tRNA) molecules are approximately 80 nucleotides in length.
Source: RNAcentral